GGUGAACGCUGGCGGCGUGGAUGAGGCAUGCAAGUCGAAUGGGUUUAGACCCAUGGCAGACGAGGUAGGAACACGUAGGUACAUACCCCAAAGUCAGGGAUAAUCUGCCGAAAGGCAGGAUAAUACUUGAUGGUCCCGCAAGGGUAAAGAUUUAUCGCUUUGGGAAUGGCCUGCGGUCUAUCAGCUUGUUGGUAAGGUAACGGCUUACCAAGGCUACGACGGAUAGGGGAGGUGAGAGCCUGACCCCCACCGAUGGAACUGCGACACGGUCCAUACUCCUACGGGAGGCCGCAGUCGAGAAUCUUCCGCAAUGGACGAAAGUCUGACGGAGCGACGCCGCGUGGUUGAUGAAGUCCUUAGGGACGUAAAGACCUUUUAUGAGGGAAGAAGUUUAUUGACAUUACCUCAUGAAUAAGGGGCUCCCAAUUCUG
This 431-nucleotide ribosomal RNA is filed under the name uncultured bacterium. RNAcentral describes it as "bacterial SSU rRNA". It matches the Rfam family "Bacterial small subunit ribosomal RNA", at positions 28 to 505 of the family's 1533-position model. The record is from RNAcentral.